Molecule: long non-coding RNA, 371 nt
Organism: Bactrocera neohumeralis
Lineage: Eukaryota; Metazoa; Arthropoda; Insecta; Diptera; Tephritidae
Exons: 2
Source: RefSeq, a predicted model, not a curated record
UGGUCAACAUUAUAAAUAUAUUUAGUAUUCCAUUUAGUUCAUAUGUAUGGUAUACAUCAUUGAUUUUAAUAAUGACUUCCAAGUGAGAAUACAUUCUAGACGUGAAAUGUUUUUUGAGGAAAACGUGUUGAUUGGGCACAUUGAACUGACCGGCUACGCUUAAAAUGUAUAAAUUAUCGAAUUCAGUUUUCCGAUAGGAACGAUGAAGUGUGAGCAACGAGUCUCCGCUAACACCCUCCUCCCUUUGGUCCGACCCCGUCGAAACAGCACGUUUCUUGGGCCUACCGUUAGAUGACAUCGACGACAACACAAAUGACAUUUACCAUCCCAACGGGGAUUGAAUUUCCGUUAAAACAACAACAACAACAACA